This 2817-nucleotide long non-coding RNA is filed under the name Equus asinus (donkey). RNAcentral's name for it is "lncRNA (ENSEASG00005026074.1)". Lineage: Eukaryota; Metazoa; Chordata; Mammalia; Perissodactyla; Equidae. The record is from RNAcentral.
CUGAGCAUGAGGCCAAAUUGAGCCAAACUGGGCCAGGCUUUGGAGUCCACAUGCUUCUGCCUGAGCCCUGCCUCUGCUCCUUACCACCUUGGUAACUCUGGGAAAAUUACUUAGCCUCUCUAAGUCUGUGAAAAAGACGCUCAGCUGCCAAAAGGGAGUUCUCAAGGGUUUCUGUCUCAGAGGGGAAUGUUAGGCUCAACUGACAUAACUGAUAUGCAAAUGUGUUGAAAGCUGUUGGGUGUUGCACAUGUUAAGAAAAUUAUUCCAGUCUCAAGUUCAAAGUGAAAGGGCUCUAAGUCAUUUCCUGCAUCCUUGGAUCUGGUGAGAGAUGGGGAGGUGGAGGAGAGACUUAUCCAAAUAGAUAAGGUUCCUCUUGUUUAACAUGGCUGAGUCACACACUCACUCAUCCAUGUACGGUCAUUGAUUCAUUCGUUCAGUCUACAACUAUUGAGUCCUUGCUACAUACCAGACACUUUUCUAGGUUCUGGGGGCAAAUAUGAAGAUAGGGAGACUCCAAUGGAUGGAAUUUCUAUAAUUCAAGCAAGAGAUGAUGAUGUCCAGAGAUAAUGACAGCACACAAAGGAAUGAAGACUGAAGAAAAGUACACAGAGUUAAUUGAUAUACGGGAAGUUGAAGGAACAGGAUAAGGUUUUUUGGAUAAGGGAAGAAGAAUCUGGCAAGAGAAAAGAUAGAGUCAAGCACAAAUCCCAUUUUCUGGCUUGAGCCAAGAGGUAGAUAAUGGUGCCAAACACAGAGUUGGGGACCCUGGAAGAGGAGCAGUUUGAGCAGGAAACAUGGGGAUAACACGAUCAAGUCUGCAUUUUCAAGAGAUUACCCUGGGAACAUUGUGGAAACUGGAUUGAAGAAAGAAACUGGUUAGAGCUUUUGUGUGAGAGCAUCAGUACAUUUCCUGAUGAUUUCUUCACUUGCUGUAGAGAUCCAAGACUGGAAGAGAACCAGGCUUGUAGUCUAUUCGAUCAUUAACCCUUGCUAAGUCUUUGUGCACCUACGUUUUACAGAUUUCAGCGUAAAAGGAAUUUCACCAUAGCCUUACUUUCCUCAGUAUAUUCCGCAAGGAUGCAAUAAGAAGUCGGUAUAACACGUUGGAAAGUAUUCAGUGGGCUUUAUGGAGAGUUAUUUUUCAUGCACAGUAGGAAAGGGUCUUUGGUAGAAUCAAGCUGAGAGACAGAAACCUUAUUAGCAUAAGAGUUCAUCUAAGUUUGAUCAUGGAAAGCCAACACUGUUAGCGAGAGAAAGGUUUGUCUGGUAGAGGCAAUACCUGAAGUCUCUGAAAGAUCUAAAUCAAUUCUCCUAUGAGAGAGACUGCAGAUCUGCCAGUGCCCUUCCAGGAAAGAGUGAAAAACCACAAUCAGUAUGGUCUUCAGAACCUUGAAAAGUCUUCAAACUCCAAUGUGUGUUUUGCGCUUAACCAUAUCUCAAUUUGGACUAGUUACGUUUCAAAUGCUCAAUAGCCACAUGUGGCUACCAUAUUGGACAGUACAGUUCUCGACUGUGUUGUCUUAAUCAUCUCAUGAAAGUAAUUAAGUGCUCUGAGAAUUCAUCACUCUCCAGAACCUCUGAUUCCUUAACAGCAAAAUUGCCCCACACCUAGGAUGUUAUCAGAAGACCAGGCAGCCGACAACAUUUUAUAAACUGGACUGGGCCAACUGAUGCUCAGAAUGUCGUCUCCACCCCAGCCCAGCUGGCAACGGCCCCACCUUGAGUGGUCAACAGCAGAGCUAUGCUCACUGCUUCCCAGAGCCCACAACCAAGGACUAACUGCUGUUCAAUCUGGAUCCUUAAAGAAUAGUCAAAGAGAACUUUCCUGCCAGCUUCAUGUGCUGUUUCAGCUGCACUUUGUGCACCUAAUGCUGCUUCUCACAGAAUUACCCUCCACUGUCCAGAGUCUCCACAACUAUCUCAGAGAUGAAAGGCUUUGUGACCCGUGCUACCUGUUGUCAACUACCACAGGGGCCCAGUUCUGUCCUGCCACAGUCCCUUGAUGAAGGCUGAGAGUAAGAAUGGAAAAGAAUAAAGGCAGUGGAAGAGAAAGAGAAACCCCCUUCUCCUAAAAUGAAAAUGAGACUGGAUGUGGGAUGUCACAGUAAACUGUGGCCCCCUACCUUUGUCCUUCCCUUUCUAGUCCCAAACAAUAAACAACAACUAAGAAUGGGGUAUGCAAAGCUCUUUGUCUAAUUCCAAAGUUUGCUUGACACCUUCCUGCCUCUUCUUAACCUCCUUUUGUGAGUUAAGACUUUGUUGAACUAGAGCCACCCUAGCAAGAGGAGCUUAAAGCUAUAUUUGCCAGCAAAACACCUUCAGCUGUCAUCUAUGGAAUCAUGUGCUUUAGCAGGAAAUAGCAGAAUGCCGAGUUAGCAUAACAAAAUCCAUUCCCAGUGAUCUGUAAACGGAUUCACCACUUUGAAGAACUUUCCUGCUGACCCCAGUAUUUCCUCUUUUCCUGCCAUCGAGCCAGAUUCCAGGACUUGCAGGAGCAGCAAGAGUGCCAGCACCAAAGAGCAGAGACUCCUGGAGGCCAUGCCAAGUGGACUCCUGAUGGGCAACACGGACACUCGAUAUGAAAGUAAAGAUCUGAUUGGCAUCCUCUUCUUGACGUGCUGUAUGUUCUGGAUAACAGUCCAGAAGCAAAACUACAAAACUGCUUUCAUUCAGAUUAACCAGUUAAAUGUAAUGGAUGAUGCUGUUUUGCUAAACUAAAACAUUGAUGUUGGUUUAAUAACAGAAAAAUGUAUUUGUGAGGUUGUUUGGACUUUUUUUCUUGUUGGCCUAUUUUAUUUUUGUUUUUGAGCAUGGUGA